RNAcentral lists this unclassified non-coding RNA (274 nucleotides) under Udeniomyces puniceus. Its description in RNAcentral is "partial contains small subunit ribosomal RNA, internal transcribed spacer 1, and 5.8S ribosomal RNA". Lineage: Eukaryota; Fungi; Basidiomycota; Tremellomycetes; Cystofilobasidiales; Mrakiaceae. RNAcentral also lists the same sequence under 1 other name. The record is from RNAcentral.
UUUCCGUAGGUGAACCUGCGGAAGGAUCACUAGUGAUUAAACGGGAAGCGUCUUAACUGACCUUCUCACCCUUCACAUCCACAUACACCCUGUGAACUGUUUGGCUUCAACUCUCGAGUUGGGCUCUCCUAUCGAUAGAUUAGCAAUAGUCUAGCGAGAAGAGGGUUCGUCUCGAGAGCGGGAGUCAUCAUUUUUAUACAUACACAAAGUCUAAUGAAUGUAAACGUUUUAUAUAAACAAAAUAAAACUUUCAACAACGGAUCUCUUGGUUCUC